AUUGAACGCUGGCGGCAGGCCUAACACAUGCAAGUCGAGCGGAUGAAGGGAGCUUGCUCCUGGAUUCAGCGGCGGACGGGUGAGUAAUGCCUAGGAAUCUGCCUGGUAGUGGGGGAUAACGUCCGGAAACGGGCGCUAAUACCGCAUACGUCCUGAGGGAGAAAGUGGGGGAUCUUCGGACCUCACGCUAUCAGAUGAGCCUAGGUCGGAUUAGCUAGUUGGUGGGGUAAAGGCCUACCAAGGCGACGAUCCGUAACUGGUCUGAGAGGAUGAUCAGUCACACGGGAACUGAGACACGGUCCAGACUCCUACGGGAGGCAGCAGUGGGGAAUAUUGGAAAAUGGGCGAAAGCCUGAUCCAGCCAUGCCGCGUGUGUGAAGAAGAUCUUCGGAUUGUAAAGCACUUUAAGUUGGGAGGAAGGGCAGUAAGUUAAUACCUUGCUGUUUUGAAGUGACCAACAGAAUAAGCAACGGCUAACUUCGUG
Molecule: ribosomal RNA, 484 nt
Filed under: uncultured bacterium
Lineage: Bacteria
Description: partial 16S ribosomal RNA
Rfam family: Bacterial small subunit ribosomal RNA
Source: RNAcentral